CAGCAUUCUUGCAUACUUUGCAUGAUUAGGAUAGCUUUGCAUACAUAUUGCAUUUCUGAGUUGUUUCCAGGUGAUUUGGAGCUGUUUGCGAGCAAAUUGGAAGAAACGAGCCAGAACCAGAAGACAUACUCGACCACCAGGU
RNAcentral lists this small RNA (142 nucleotides) under Arabidopsis thaliana (thale cress). RNAcentral describes it as "ATSL269940". The record is from RNAcentral. Lineage: Eukaryota; Viridiplantae; Streptophyta; Magnoliopsida; Brassicales; Brassicaceae.